UUCGGGAUGGUGUAAUCGGUAGCACAGCAGACUCUGACUCUGCUAGUCUAGGUUCGAGUCCUAGUCCCGAAACCA
Molecule: transfer RNA, 75 nt
Filed under: Planctomycetota bacterium
Lineage: Bacteria; Pseudomonadati; Planctomycetota
Description: tRNA-Gln
Rfam family: tRNA
About the family: Transfer RNA (tRNA) molecules are approximately 80 nucleotides in length. Their secondary structure includes four short double-helical elements and three loops (D, anti-codon, and T loops).
Source: RNAcentral